This 202-nucleotide ribosomal RNA is filed under the name uncultured bacterium. Its description in RNAcentral is "partial 16S ribosomal RNA". It matches the Rfam family "Bacterial small subunit ribosomal RNA", at positions 524 to 725 of the family's 1533-position model. The record is from RNAcentral.
UACGAAGGGGGCUAGCGUUGCUCGGAAUGACUGGGCGUAAAGGGCGCGUAGGCGGAUGGCUUUGUCGGGCGUGAAAUUCCAGGGCUCAACCUUGGGGCUGCGUUCGAGACGGGCGAUCUUUGAGUUCGGAAGAGGGUCGUGGAAUUCCCAGUGUAGAGGUGAAAUUCGUAGAUAUUGGGAAGAACACCGGUGGCGAGGCGGC